UGAAGUUAGCGGCGGACGGGUGAGUAACACGUGGGUAACCUGCCCAUAAGACUGGGAUAACUCCGGGAAACCGGGGCUAAUACCGGAUAAUAUUUUGAACCGCAUGGUUCGAAAUUGAAAGGCGGCUUCGGCUGUCACUUAUGGAUGGACCCGCGUCGCAUUAGCUAGUUGGUGAGGUAACGGCUCACCAAGGCAACGAUGCGUAGCCGACCUGAGAGGGUGAUCGGCCACACUGGGACUGAGACACGGCCCAGACUCCUACGGGAGGCAGCAGUAGGGAAUCUUCCGCAAUGGACGAAAGUCUGACGGAGCAACGCCGCGUGAGUGAUGAAGGCUUUCGGGUCGUAAAACUCUGUUGUUAGGGAAGAACAAGUGCUAGUUGAAUAAGCUGGCACCUUGACGGUACCUAACCAGAAAGCCACGGCUAACUACGUGCCAGCAGCCGCGGUAAUACGUAGGUGGCAAGCGUUAUCCGGAAUUAUUGGGCGUAAAGCGCGCGCAGGUGGUUUCUUAAGUCUGAUGUGAAAAGCCCACGGGCUCAACCGUGGAGGGUCAUUGAAAACUGGGGAGACUUGAGUGCAGAAGAGGAAAGUGGUAUUUCCAUGUGGUACCGGUGAAAUGCGUAAAGAUAUGG
This 634-nucleotide ribosomal RNA is filed under the name Bacillus sp. (in: firmicutes). Its description in RNAcentral is "bacterial SSU rRNA". It matches the Rfam family "Bacterial small subunit ribosomal RNA", at positions 87 to 701 of the family's 1533-position model. Lineage: Bacteria; Bacillati; Bacillota; Bacilli; Caryophanales; Bacillaceae. The record is from RNAcentral.